This 407-nucleotide ribosomal RNA is filed under the name uncultured bacterium. Its description in RNAcentral is "bacterial SSU rRNA". It matches the Rfam family "Bacterial small subunit ribosomal RNA", at positions 976 to 1381 of the family's 1533-position model. The record is from RNAcentral.
AGUGGCUUGACAUCCUCUGACAACCGUGGAAACACGGCAUUCCCUUCGGGGACAGAGUGACAGGUGCUGCAUGGCAGUCGUCAGCUCGUGUCGUGAGAUGUUGGGUUAAGUCCCGCAACGAGCGCAACCCCUAUCUUUAGUUACCAGCGGGUAAUGCCGGGGACUCUAAAGAGACUGCCGGCGGUGAGCCGGAGGAAGAUGGGGAUGACGUCAUGUCCUCAUGGCCCUUAUGCCCUGGGCUGCACACGUGCUACAAUGGCCGGUACAACGGGUCGUGAAACCGUGAGGUGGAACCAAUCCCUUAAAGCCGGUCUCAGUUGGGAUUGUAGUCUGCAACUCGACUACAUGAACCUGGAAUCGCUAGUAAUCGCGGAUCAGCACGCCGCGGUGAAUACGUUCCCGGGCCU